This 377-nucleotide transfer-messenger RNA is filed under the name Lipingzhangella rawalii. It matches the Rfam family "transfer-messenger RNA". Rfam says of the family: Bacterial tmRNA, also known as 10Sa RNA or SsrA, is named for its dual tRNA and mRNA-like properties. Its role is to liberate the mRNA from a stalled ribosome. Lineage: Bacteria; Bacillati; Actinomycetota; Actinomycetes; Streptosporangiales; Nocardiopsidaceae. The record is from RNAcentral.
GGGGGUGAUCGGUUUCGACUUCGGUAGUUGAAUCAGGGGAAGCGGGCCGAGGGUUGCGACUGUGACCUCGUAAAUCCUGCAUCGCAAUAAACACAAGUGCCAAGUCUGAGCGCACUGAGCAGUUCGCUCUCGCCGCUUAAGCGAGACGUUGCUCUGUCGGUCUAGGUAAGUCUCCGACCUAGUUUCCGGCAUCGUUGAGGAGACUCACCGGUUUGGUCAGACCACGGGGCCAGAUCGGGACAUGCACGUGGUUGGGCCCGUCAGCGACAUGCCGCACGUGAGCGCUGGGGCCGAGUAGAACGUCUAGUGCGGCUGCGCCCGGAGAAGCCCUUUUUCGGUACUGAAGGACGCGGGUUCGAUUCCCGCCACCUCCACUC